GACGAACGCUGGCGGCGUGCCUAAUACAUGCAAGUCGAACGCACAGUUUAUACCGUAGCUUGCUACACCAUAGACUGUGAGUUGCGAACGGGUGAGUAACGCGUAGGUAACCUGCCUGGUAGCGGGGGAUAACUAUUGGAAACGAUAGCUAAUACCUCAUAAUAUUAAUUAUUGCAUGAUAAUUAAUUGAAAGGUGCAAUUGCACCACUACCAGAUGGACCUGCGUUGUAUUAGCUAGUAGGUGAGGUAACGGCUCACCUAGUCGACGAUACAUAGCCGACCUGAGAGGGUGAUCGGCCACACUGGGACUGAGACAAGGCCCAGACUCCUAAGGGAGGGAGCAGUAGGGAAUCUUCGGCCAUGGACGAAAGUCUGAACGAGCCACGCCGCGUGAGGGAAGAAGGGUCUCGGAUCGUAAAGAUCUGUUGUAAGAGAAGAACGGGUGUGAGAGUGGAAAGUUCACACUGUGACGGUAUCUUACCAGAAAGGGACGGCUAACUACGUG
RNAcentral lists this ribosomal RNA (505 nucleotides) under uncultured bacterium. RNAcentral's name for it is "partial 16S ribosomal RNA". It matches the Rfam family "Bacterial small subunit ribosomal RNA", at positions 28 to 507 of the family's 1533-position model. The record is from RNAcentral.